GAUGAAGAACGUAGUGAAAUGCGAUAAGUAAUGUGAAUUGCAGAAUUCAGUGAAUCAUCGAAUCUUUGAACGCACAUUGCGCCCGCCAGUAUUCUGGCGGGCAUGCCUGUUCGAGCGUCAUUACAACCCUCAGGCCCCCGGGCCUGGCGUUGGGGAUCGGCGGAAGCCCCCUGCGGGCACAACGCCGUCCCCCCAAUACAGUGGCGGUCCCGCCGCAGCUUCCAUUGCGUAGUAGCUAACACCUCGCAACUGGAGAGCGGCGCGGCCACGCCGUAAAACACCCAACUUCUGAAUGUUGACCUCGAAUCAGGUAGGAAUACCCGCUGAACUUAAGCAUAUCAAUAAGCGGAGGA
Molecule: unclassified non-coding RNA, 353 nt
Filed under: soil metagenome
Description: partial contains 5.8S ribosomal RNA, internal transcribed spacer 2, and large subunit ribosomal RNA
Rfam family: 5.8S ribosomal RNA (bases 1-120)
Source: RNAcentral